GAACUCCAUACCAGGGCGUGGCACGGUGGUGACGGGCACGCUGGAGCGCGGAACUCUCCGGAAGGGCGACGAGGUGGAGCUGCUGGGCUACGGCCGCACGCUGCGCUCCGUGGUCACCGGGAUUGAGAUGUUCCACAAGAGCCUGGAGGUGGCCGAGGCCGGGGACAACCUGGGGGCGCUGCUGCCCCAUAGAGCCUGAACCCUGCCCCAUAGAGCCUGAACCCUGCCCCAUAGAGCCC
Molecule: long non-coding RNA, 239 nt
Organism: Passer montanus (Eurasian tree sparrow)
Lineage: Eukaryota; Metazoa; Chordata; Aves; Passeriformes; Passeridae
Exons: 3
Source: RefSeq, a predicted model, not a curated record